This 9046-nucleotide long non-coding RNA is filed under the name Marmota monax (woodchuck). The record is from RNAcentral. Lineage: Eukaryota; Metazoa; Chordata; Mammalia; Rodentia; Sciuridae.
UUUGAGACAAGGUCCUGCUGUGCUGCCCACAUGGGUCUCAAACUUGUGGGCUCAAGCAGUUCUCCUGCUUCAAUCUCCGGAGUACUGAGACUACAGGUGUGGUGACACGUUGUAUAUAUCUAGGUUUUUUAUUAGUGGAUUAAUAGCAUGAAGCAACUUCUAAAGAGUAAGGUAAUCUUGCAUUUUGAGAAACCCCAUGUAUUUUCAAGUGUGCCUGACUUCUGAGUUUUAAGGUAAAAGUGAACCAAAUGAAAACAAUUCUGUAAGAAUUUUAGCUUAUCAGGUUUUUCUAUGAUAUAUAGUUAUUUAUUGACUCUUUCUUGCUUUGUCUAAGGCAUGGGGUUAUUGAGAACUCUGGAGACUCUUUUGACAUGUCAGUGGUCUUCUAAGAAAAACCAGUGUUUGCUUUUCAUCUGAAGUGCCUGGUAUAUUCCUCCAUGAUUAGAGGGUUCUUGAUAAGAAUUAUUUUGUAAAUGAACUUAAUUUGAAUUUUGUUACAUUAUAUUGAAUAAUUGUUUUAUCUUCAAUCAAGAUAAGUCCAGAAAUGGAUGCUAUUGCUAAAUUUAAAUUCCAAGGCAGGAGAUAAAAUAUCUUAAUUUUCACAGAUGCCUUGGAACCUGUGACCCCGAAUUAGUUUUUUACUAUGCAUUAUCACAUUUAGAAAUUUAAAAAUCAUCAUAAAAAUCUCAGGAAGCUUGUAUUUGUGGUAUAUUAAUAUUAGAGUGCUGUUAAUAUUAUUGCAUCCUUAAUUUAGACUCUGCUGGUUUUUCCUUUAUUUAAUGAGGUACCUCUGUGUCUGUCAUUUGAGUUUUGCUGUUGCAGUUUUGUCAUUUGUGGCCUGGAGGGAAGCCCUAUUUGGUUAUAGGUGUUCCUGUAGAGAGGUCUCUCUUUUAAGAGCUCUGCUGAGUAAGUAAAUGGUAGGUAGCUGAUAGAUAGGGCUACUGUUUCAUGUCUUUUUGGUUCCUCAGUCCUCUCUUUGAAUAUGCUGAAUUUGUAAAGUUUAAAUUCUUUUCUUUCCUUUUUUUUUAAGUUAGGUUUCUUAUUGAAGUAAUUCAUGUACAUAGUUGAAAGAAAUAAAAUACUUGAAAAGAGCAAUUUAGCAUCCCAAAGAGGUAUACUUUAAUGGUUUAUUUUAGUAUUUACUUUCUAUUUAAAAAUGAUAUAGUACUUUUUUCUUGAUUUAAUCAGUUUCAAAAGAGAGUUAUUGAAUUCUGUUUAUGGUAGGCAGGAUUUGCUUUUUUAUAUCCACAUGUCUCCUGAUUUUCUUUCCCUAUCCCUUCCCUUACCUAGAUUUUGUUAAAUCAGUAGUUACAAAUAUUGUUCACUGACAGUCUACACGACUAUCAUUAUUUACUUUCUAUUAUUUUUCCUAGAGUUAUGUUGCCCAAUUGUAAAAUUUGCUUAGUAUUGUUUAUAUACCUAUCACAGUGAUAAUCCAAAGCCACAAUUCCUCAAAAACAUCACAUAAUCUAUACAUUUCUUUUUAUGGUUGCCCUUUAUGGGCAGAAUUUCUUCCACAAUCUCUCUUUUGCCAUUUGGACUGUGCACUCUCCAGGCAUGUUUCUGUCUGUGCAUUGUGAUGUAGUCUCACUUUGUAUCUCCUGUUUAUUCGAUACGAUGAUUUCUUCUUUCUUGAUUUACUGUCUCUGUUUAAAGAAUUGUUUUUGCCAGAGCUUAUGCACAAUAGCUUCCUGAAAAGAUGCAUUGGAGGUAUAGAUUUUGAGGCUUUCCAGGUUUGAAAAUGUCUCUACUCUGGAUUGAUUGUGGUUAGGAGUCUGUCAAAAAGAAUUUCCUCUCAGAAUUUUAAAGGCACUGUCUUUCAUCACUUGAUAUUACUGUGAGAAUUCUGACAUCCUUCUUACUUUUACUCUCUGGAGGCAUUUAGGAGCAUCUCUUUACAAAAACCCUAAUGUUUCAAAAUGUCUGUCUUUAUUCAUUCAUUUUAAUGAGUACUUGACUUGGUGGAGUCUCCCAGUAGAUUUGCCUGUUUUGAUUCUAGGAAUUUUUUGUGUGUUGUUUCUUUGAUUAUUCUUUCUGCCCCAUUUUGAAUGUUGAACUUCACAGAUUCCAGACUGAUACUCUAAUUUUAAAAGUAUUUUCUCCAGUUGCUGCUUCAAUUGUAUUAUUUUUUGUUGUUUUUGUUACCCUUUAGGUCUUCAGUUGAAUUUUCUACAUUUAAAUUGCCAAGAGAUCUUUUUACUUUGUUACUUUUCAUAAAACCCUAUUUUUAUUUUAUAGAUUCAGUGCCUCUUUAUCUCCCUGAGUACAAAAUAAUGGGCUUUUCCUUAUAUCUUUCCUCUUUCUUUCAUCAUUUCUAUUCCCCAUAUUCCUGCUUUUUAUUUGUGUUGUACUCUUUCUUUCUGAAGGCUUUCUUAGGAAUUUGGAGAGAUCAUCCAUUCAGGUUAGUCAUGUACCACAAAGCUAAUUUCAUAGGCCUUUAUGUUUGGGCUGUUUUAUCAGUUGUCUUAAGGGCCAUGGGGCAGAGGGCUAGCCUUUUCGGUUAGGAUCUACUGAAUUUCAGUGUAGAUUUUGUCUUUGGUGUCAUUCAAUUUCUCUAGAAAGUUGCUUUCUGAAAAUAGCUUAGGAGAAGAUGGCUGAAAACCCUACAGUUUGUGUGAUGGCCUUUACUUAAUCUCUGUAUUUUCAGCUUUCUUCAUAUCCCAUCCCAUCCCACCUAAGUCCUCUAUGAUUUGUAACCCUCUGUUGCAGUUUUCCUGUGGAUAGCAGAAGAAGGUGGUUGGCGGCUGUGGAGAGUAGGGGAGAGAACCAGGGAUCCAAUUACUUUUGUAUAGAGUUCUAAUCCUCAUUUCAGCCCUGUGCCUCCCUCCUUUUAGCCCUGUGCCUCCCUCCUUUUUUCUACAAUAACAAUAUUUCCAAAUCUUGCACUUAACAGAGGUUUGAUGUAUUUUUGCUUCUCCCUCUUAGGCUUCUGCUUAGGCUUUAACCUCCUCCAUACUCCUCCUGGCUUCUAUUCUUUGAAACUUUUGAGAUUUCUUGACUUUGUAUUCUGUUCUCUUUGUCUUUGGGAAUUAAUUUCUUUUAUAUUCCUUAAGUGUCUUUUUGGUGGGGUUUUGGAAGUAGAGAAAAUAAAUUCAUGUGGCCAGUUCACCGUGUUUAACUGAAAGUCUAUAUUUAAAUUCUAAUAGUGUGUAAGAAAAUAAAAAUUCUUUAAUAUUUUGCAAUUCAUCCUUUCCACUUAGUAAUUUUUAAUUCCCAUGCUUUUACUGUACUACCUACCUCAUACAGCUGGCAGUACUUAAAACACCUAGAAUAGUGCCUGGUACACAGUAUGUGUUAAAUAAGGAUUCUUUAUUAUGAAUAUUGUUAUUAUCAUUAUUAAUUUCACUACUAUCAUUCCGAAUUCAGUAGCCCCUUUAGACUUGAAUGAAGAUGUUUUGCCAUAGGAAUAAUUAUUAAUAUCUGGGAAAAUAUAAUGUUGAUAAUAUUGACAUUACAUUACUUCACAUGAGGUGUUCAGUGUUAUUUUUUUUUUUUUUUGAGAAAUGUUAAAGCCUUAAGAAAUCCAAUUAGUAGUCAUUACUUCAAAUGUUUUAAGAAGAGUAUAAUAAUUUUGAAGUGCUUUUAACUUUAUUGGAACUGUUUUGGUCUUAUCUAAAUAUGAGGUAUGGAGAAUAAAGUUAUGAAGAUGGUAUUUGUUAUACCUUACUUGUAGCUAGUAGAUAUAAUAACUUUUUGACCACAUAGAUUACAGGAAUAGAGAAAUAGUAGAUUGCAAACAUUGCAUCUGUAACCUUCUUGUGAAUGGUUGUACACCUUUCAGAAAAUGUUGUGAAUGUAUACAAAGAAAAUGCAUGCAUUUAUUCAGUAGGUAAAAGUUUAAUUUAUUGUAUAAUUAGAAUGUUUUGGAGAAUGUUUAAAUACUUAAUAUUUAAAAAUAUUUUACUUUAGAUUGGUUUUUUUAUGUUAAUAUCUAAAAGUAAAAUAAUUUGUUCUAGGUACAAGGUACUCUGAGCCUAUUUCAAAAUUCCUUUUUCUAAGAUAUUUAAAGUAUCCUUUUAUGUUUGGAUUAAGGGAGUUGCAUAAUAAGAUUCAGUUCUUAGAAAUGAAAUGGAAGUAGGUGAUGCAUUACUUUUUUUUUUUUUUAACGGACACUGAGCUGUAUAUUUUGAGGAAGGAGAUUUUUAUCUCUAAGGACAGUUGCAUUUUUUCCUCACAAAGUAGAAUCCCAUGUUGUGACAGAUGGCUGUAAAUAUCAAUACCUCCAGAGAUUAGAAUUUUUUUUAUCCAAAAGCAAUAGCCAGUUGCUUAGUGUAACUAAACCUCUUUGCAAAUAGAGCAGAUGAAAAUAGAUAGUAGUUGUACCCAAGGCAAAACAAACCCUGCUGUUGUCAUAACACUGGCAUUUUCCCCUUUUCUUGGAUGUCUCUGUUAUAGGCUUUAUUGGGUCCUCUUACGUCUGCUUUGAUCUCUGAGUUUUGAUGUCUGCAUCUUUAGAGUCCUUAUGCUGUAUCUUCUCCAAAUGAGGUAAUUAAUCUAGUAUAUUUUCAUAAGAUAAAAUUUGUCCUUUUUGCCCUUUAAUAUGUUCUCCCUCCCCUUGGUCUUCCUUCUUUCUUACCUUCCUUCUUCCCUCUUUCCCUCUCUUCCUUCUUUCCUCCCUCCCUUUCUUUUUGUUAAUAAACCAUUACUAUAAGCCAAGUGUUUGACUUCAUUUUAGCCUCAUAAUGGAGAUAUUAAAGUACAAGAAUACAAGACCAACCAACAUGCACAGAUAUAGGAUUAACACAUGUUUGGUUAGAAUUAAUAUUAUUAUCUGAAAUUCUAAGUGUUUGCAUUAUCUAUUGAUUGAGUAUUUUAGUUCCUACACCUCUUCAUUUUUUUGGACUUAAUGAAUGACUAAUCCAGAAUUUACCAACCAAGCCCAGAAUUUGAUGGCAGGGUAGAUUAAAUUUUGAUCAGUUAUAGAUAAACGAAAUGAAUUAAUGUAAGGGGUGUUUACACAUUAAGUAGUACCUUGACAUCAAUGAGAAGUAAUUUUCAUGUAGUCCCAAUAUCAGAAAUGAACAAAAUAUAUGACUGAAAUAAAUUUUCUCCUCAGUUUUAUUCUGUCAGGCUUGAAGGAGAAUGCUGUUGAUAUUCCCUGUCUUUUUAGAAAGUUUGGCACAAAGAAUUUUUUUUACCCACUUUCAUUUCAAUAUAACAUAUAUAACCCGAUUUGAUUAGAUGGGAUAGUUAGGAACAUAGGAGAGAACGGUGCCAGGAAGGGAUCCAGAGCCACCAGGAGCUAUGUACCUACACUCUCCUUUCCUGGGCCUUUCCUGGUAUUAGACACAGAAGUCAUCAUGUGGAUGAGAUGAAGCAGUUUAGGAAUGAAGAAUGGUGAGUCUCGGGGCAUGAAAGGGAGUGUUCUAGGAAAAUGUUUCAGUCUUAUCUGCACCAUGCCCUUUCUUCCUGUACUUGGACUUCAUAUCCUGGGAGAACUGGGUAUUUUCCACCUCUCUUCUUAAUUUUUCAAAGCAAUACUUGACUAUAUAGCUUUUAUUAGAUAAUAAUUUAGAUAAUAUGGAUAAAUCUAAAUUCACCUUCAUGUGCACUCCCCCAGGAAGAGGUUAACUACUCUUUUCGGGUAUGGACUCUUUCAGGCCUAUUUCUUGAGUGUUGACUUAGAUUUUGUGGAGGUCCCCGUUUUUACUAGUUUGGAUUAGCUCAUUAAAAGCAAGAUAGUUUAAUAAACAGUGGCACACUUACGUUAUGUAGCCUGUAAUAGGAGAUGACUCUAUAUUGCUUUACUUGAGUAUAUUUCUGUGUAUGACAGUUGAACAAUUCUGACCCCUACAUUGUUCGUCAGAGAGGUGUUCUAGCUCUUUCAUUUUCUAUGAAUUGAUUACGUUUUUCUAGAUAGAGCAUUUUUCUUUAAAAGAGAAUGCUAAAGUUUCUAGUGCUUUCUUUAAUUGUGAGGGAGCAUGAGUGUAUGUAUGCAUGUGUAUGGUUUCUUGGUUGUGGAAAAUGCAACUUGGAGUCCUUUGUUUUGAGACUCACAGUUUUAUGUUUAGUUUUACAGUUAAUUUUAAAAUGUUAGCUAUAAAGGAUCAAAACAGUUUUGCUGUAGAAGUUAACCAACUUUUGCUGUAGAAGUUACCACAACUUGGUCAAAAUAGAGAGUUGUGUUUUUGUUUGUUUGGCAACAGUCAAAAGUGUGGCCUCUAGAUAGUAAGGGUUAAGCAUCCAGAUUUCUGUCAGUGAAAGUAUAUAUGUCCAUGCAAUUAAAAACGUCAUUUAACAAAUUUAUGUAGUAAAUAAGUAUUCAGUGAAUGCCUCUUCAAUCUUAUCACUGAAAUUAACCUCCAUACUUGAAUAAAUAGGAAUUCUAUAGGUGGCCUUUUCUUGUAGAAUUUGGGGUUGCUAGGUUAUCAAGAGUUUCAUCUUGCCUUCAGAAUUGGCAUACUCAGGUGAUAUUUCAUAGCCCUUUGUCAUCAUUCCCAUCUUGGGUGAGGCCUUAGAAUACAACUGUCAUUUAGCUCUAUUAUUUCUUCUUUAUUUUCUUGUUUAGCAAUAAUUGGCUGGAGAAGUUUGUGAUAAUAUAUAUCUGUGGUUUAGUAGUGUGACAUUAUAUGGCAACCUUUCUUUUUUUUUCCUUUCUAUGACAACUCUGAUCAAUUAGUUUUGACUUCCAGAAAUACUGAAGGAGAAGCUAGAAUCAGCAGAGAGUGAUGUACCUAUUUGAUUAAUGAUGUCUUCAUGGGCUUGGUAAAAGGUGCGGGGAAUGGUGGCAAGGAUAGCUGUCAUCGAGAACACAGGGCAAUGAUUAUGGUGUAGACUUAGCAUAAUUUUGCUAGAUUUUAUUUUUUUAAGCAGUCACAAUAAACACAAUCAACAACUCAUAAUUGAUUCCCUGUUUUCAGUUUCUACUGUCCAAAUAGGAUGAACUUAAAUAUAUGAAUAUUUUAAAAAUAGAAAAUGGAGCUGGGUGCAGUGGUACAUGCCUGAAAUCCUGGCAGCUGGGGAGGCUGAGACAGGAGGAUCAAGAGUUCAAAGACAGCCUCAGCAAAAAGCAAGGCACUAAGCAACUCGGUGAGACCCAGUCUUUGAAUAAAACAUAAAAAAGGGCUGGGGAUGUGGCUCAGAGGUCAAGUGCCCCUGGAGUUCAAUCCCCAGUACCAAAAAACAAAGUAGAAAAUAGAAACAAACAUAGCUCAUCAUCUCUUCAUUCAGACCAAGUGUGUAUGUGUAUGUGUGUGUGUGUGUGUGUAUAUAUAUAUAUACACGCAUAAGUAAUGUAUAUCAUUAACUUACUAGCAGUGCCUUUAUGAAUUUAAAAAAAACCUUUGCAACCUUGACAUGAUGCUCAGGAAAAAAUAAAGUGCUAAUACUAUUUUCUAAAAGUAAGUGAAACUUAACAGCAUAUCAGUGCUUUGCGUAAGUCACCUUUCAUGUUUAGAUCAUCCUUGGUCAUCACUGGAGAGAAGAGUUUCAGUUCAUUUGUGGUUUUGCAAGUAGCAAACCUCCUUAGAGAUAAGUUGCAACUUUCAUUUCUUGUUUUUGUGAAUCAGGCCAUGUUGGCCACAUGAAGUCCUUGAAAGUGACUUGAGUCUGGACCUACCAUUUCUGGUCUUAUAACAUUCUUUUUUGGGGGACAUUUGGCAUCCUCUAUGUGGUGUUUGCAUGUGUCACCUUUGGGGAUGUGACUCCUAUGGGUAUUUUUGGUGGGGGGUAUGAUGGGAGUAGAUACAGUUUUAGAUGAUUUUUUUUUUAAUACUUCAAGUACAAUACUUAAAGCUAUUUCAAGUAGCUUGCUCCAGGAAAAUGAAGAAAUGAAGGGUUUUGUGUCUUCUAGUUUUAAUUUUUUGUUUUUGCCCUUUGCUUUCCAUACUAUGUUUUUGCCUUCCGGUUUUCAAAAUUCUGUGUAUUAUCUCAACCUUCUCUUCCUACCUGCUCUGAAGAAUGUCUACGAAAUCGUGGUUGGGUGUUUAAAGGAAAUUUCUAAGCACUUUACAGUAUUAUCCAUAAUUUGCUGAAAAGCAAGUCAUGAAUGUUUCUCAUUUUUUUUACCUUUCCCUUUUUCUUUCUUCACUUUAUCUUUUUUCUUCAAUUUUUAUUUAUGAUUAUAGAAUCCUCAAAAAUGGCUCCUCUGUGUGUCUUUAUUUGGUGUAUUACUUUGGAAAAGAAAAGAAUCACUUGGGUAUGAUGGCGAGUCCACCUAAGGGGCUGUUAACCAUUUAAUUUAAGAUAGCUUAUUCACUUAUUUACCUCUUUUUAAAAAAUUUCUUUAGUCCAUAUUCAUUUGAUUACUCACCGAGUACUAUGUUGCUAAUAUUUAUUUUUGCAUUCUAAAUGUUUUUUACAUUACUUUACUUUUUAAUUCUUAAGUGCACUUAAAACUCACUGCAUUAUUAUUUAACAACUUAAAUUGACUAUCCUAACUUUAAUUGGCUUUCUUAAAAACUUCACUUGUUUAGCUAUUUGAAUACCAUUUCUUAUUCACAUUUGCACACCAAUUAUUAUCUUAACCUAAAUAUAAAUCAGCAUUAGAAAAAUGUACUUGUUGGUUUAAAAUUUUUUUGUUGUAUAUAAAUAUUAUUAAAAACAUAAGCACAUGAAUUUCUUUUUGCCUUUUAAAUGUCUUUGUUUUUGAUCAGCUAUAAGUAAUACAUAUAAUAAAUUUGCAACAAAAGUUUGUGGGUAUUUAAAUGAAAAAUUUGUAACUUUAAAAGAAAAAUAAAUUGGAAAUAUUGGAAUUGAUAGAAGAGCUAGUCAUUAAGUAAACUUAUUAAUCUAAUAGCAAAUAUGGAUCUCACUAAAAGCACUUUAAUUUUAAAGCACCUUCAGAAUAGGAUUUUUAUUCCCAAGGUGGGGGGGUGAAUAAACUUCAUUUAAAAAUAUAUGUAUACUUAUUUGUGAGUAUUUUCUUUUUCUCUUCCAAAUUCUAAAGGUGUAUAUUCAUAUUUUUGUUAUGACAAUUCUGCUUGUUUAAUUAUUGUAAUAAUUUUAUAAAUUCAAUAAAACUGAGCCAUGUGAACAAUGUGGGGGAAAAUGUUUAAUAAAUUUGCCAUGUCACUAAGAAAAAAAAAACAUUAAAGCCAGCAUGUUC